Molecule: ribosomal RNA, 548 nt
Filed under: Grimontia hollisae CIP 101886
Lineage: Bacteria; Pseudomonadati; Pseudomonadota; Gammaproteobacteria; Vibrionales; Vibrionaceae
Description: bacterial SSU rRNA
Rfam family: Bacterial small subunit ribosomal RNA
Source: RNAcentral
CCCGCACAAGCGGUGGAGCAUGUGGUUUAAUUCGAUGCAACGCGAAGAACCUUACCUACUCUUGACAUCCUCAGAAGCCGGAAGAGAUUCUGGUGUGCCUUCGGGAACUGAGAGACAGGUGCUGCAUGGCUGUCGUCAGCUCGUGUUGUGAAAUGUUGGGUUAAGUCCCGCAACGAGCGCAACCCUUAUCCUUGUUUGCCAGCACUUCGGGUGGGAACUCCAGGGAGACUGCCGGUGAUAAACCGGAGGAAGGUGGGGACGACGUCAAGUCAUCAUGGCCCUUACGAGUAGGGCUACACACGUGCUACAAUGGUGCAUACAGAGGGCAGCGAGACCGCGAGGUGGAGCGAAUCCCAGAAAGUGCAUCGUAGUCCGGAUUGGAGUCUGCAACUCGACUCCAUGAAGUCGGAAUCGCUAGUAAUCGUGGAUCAGAAUGCCACGGUGAAUACGUUCCCGGGCCUUGUACACACCGCCCGUCACACCAUGGGAGUGGGCUGCACCAGAAGUAGAUAGCUUAACCUACGGGAGGGCGUUUACCACGGUGUGGU